GUGGUCAGUUUUGGUCCUUUUUUUUUUUUUUUCCUGCUCGACAAAACCUCCAGAACUAACUACCGAAAUUUACUUAGGUGACCCGAUACCAUUUUCGUUAUCCGAGCCGGUUGCUUGUAGCGACUUCUCGGGUUGAGUUAAGCGUAUUUUGUAAGUAAGACGGGGAGAGGGUUUGCCAUAUUGGCGUCCCAGAGGGAGCUAACCAGUGUUAGCUUUGGUCUAGUCAUGACAACCAGAGGAACUGCCAUCACCACAAUCCUCCCCUGUGGCUUUGCUAGGAUUAGCAGGCCUCCAUUAUGGACUUCAGAUGCAAGCUUACUGCUCCCAGAUGGAUGAUUAUCACAUCUGUGUUCUACAUCUGGAUCAUGCACAUGUACCCAUGGGAAUCCUCUCGCAUCCCUGCAGUGGGAUGGGCCGUAUUCAUUUCAUGUCAUGUCAGCCUACUCUGCAGAGAGAAUCCUGAAAUUUCUUCAGAGCAUCAGUUCCUUUUUUCUGUUCUUUUUCAGCUGUUUCAUUUUUUUAAAGAUUGUCGUCAAGUUUGCAAACCUGGGAAAAGUAAACUCUGUGAACCUUUGUUUUUUUUUAUUGUUAUUAAAUUUAUUUAGAAGGCUCA
Austrofundulus limnaeus is the source of this 613-nucleotide long non-coding RNA. RefSeq lists it as uncharacterized. NCBI's taxonomy places the organism in Eukaryota, Metazoa, Chordata, Actinopteri, Cyprinodontiformes, Rivulidae. The record is from RefSeq and is a predicted model, not a curated record. The transcript is spliced from 3 exons.